AUACGGAGGGUGCAAGCGUUACUCGGAAUCACUGGGCGUAAAGCGCGCGCAGGCGGUCUUUUAAGUUGGAUGUGAAAGCCUACGGCUCAACCGUAGAACUGCAUCCAAAACUAUUAGACUAGAGUGUGGGAGAGGAAGAUGGAAUUAGUUGUGUAGGGGUAAAAUCCGUAGAGAUAACUAGGAAUACCAAAAGCGAAGGCAAUCUUCUGGGACACUACUGACGCUGAGGCGCGAAAGCGUGGGGAGCAAACAGGAUUAGAAACCCUAGUAGUCC
Molecule: ribosomal RNA, 274 nt
Filed under: uncultured bacterium
Lineage: Bacteria
Description: partial 16S ribosomal RNA
Rfam family: Bacterial small subunit ribosomal RNA
Source: RNAcentral